GCUCAAUAACCUCACCAGGUUGCUCCCCCUACUCGAAAACCUCGUCGGUCGUACUUUCUGCACUUGUGGGAUUGUUAGAAAUAGAAGGAAUAGUAACAAGGUUAGGAAUUAUACCAUUAUUCGCCUUUUCUAACAAGUAGAAGGAAUAGUAACAAGGUUAGGAAUUAUGCCAUUCUUCGCCUUUUCUAACAUAUCAGCAGCGGUUCCAACUUCACUUUCUCGGAAGACUACAUCUCUGCUUCUGAUGACCUUCUUCUUUACAGGAUCCCACAAUUUGUACCUAAACUCUUCAUCUCCGUAUCCAAUAAAUAUGCAGGGAACAGAUUUAUCAUCCAGCUUUGUUCUCCGCUCUUUCGGUACAUGUGCAAAAGCUCUGGAACCGAACACCUUCAGAUGCGAGUAGGACACCUCCUUAUUGGUCCAAACUCUCUCUGGGAUGUCAAAAGCCAAUUGAACUGAUAGACUCCUAUUGAUCAGGUAACAAGUUGUUUGAACUGCUUCACCCAAGAAUGACUUAGGUAGUUUAGCCAUUUUGAGCAUGCUUCUUACCUUCUCCACAAUAGUGCGAUUCAUCCUCUCUGCUACACCAUUGUGCUGUGGGGUUCCAGGA
Molecule: long non-coding RNA, 610 nt
Filed under: Nicotiana benthamiana
Lineage: Eukaryota; Viridiplantae; Streptophyta; Magnoliopsida; Solanales; Solanaceae
Description: long non-coding RNA (NBEN_LNC003697)
Source: RNAcentral